Molecule: long non-coding RNA, 490 nt
Filed under: Setaria italica (foxtail millet)
Lineage: Eukaryota; Viridiplantae; Streptophyta; Magnoliopsida; Poales; Poaceae
Description: long non-coding RNA (SITA_LNC005104)
Source: RNAcentral
AAGGAAGUUGAGAUGGCAUUGCAAACCAUGAGAACAAAAACGUUCAAGUCAUACCGCGCCGUUUCUGAAAGUGAAAGAGCUUCAUCAGUUGAUACAUUCAUGAACUAAUAAAGAUAGUAUCGAUCAUUUAUCAGUUGAUAUAACCUAUUUACCAAGCCAUAGAUGGUACAGCUUGGACAAAGAGUUCAUAUCAUCCACUGAGGUAACUCGAUAGAAGCGCACGUGGAUAUCUGAAUGUGGAUUAAAUAAUUAUUUGCCGUCCUUGUUAGUAGAACCUGAUUUGCCAUCCUGGUCCACUUUCAGCUAUUAAUCCAUAAUAUCUAACUGAAGUGCAUCGCCCUUUGUACUUUGAUGUAUCUGCUUUGUUUUGUGUCUUUUUGGAUAUGUUGUAUAUUAUUUUUUUUCCUUAGAAGCCCUCAGUGUACUGUAUUCUUAACUUGUUUGAACACUAAUUUGCUGUGAGAUGUAACAUGCCAUCAAGAGAGGUAAA